GACGAACGCUGGCGGCGUGCUUAACACAUGCAAGUCGAGCGGUAAGGCCCUUUCGGGGGUACACGAGCGGCGAACGGGUGAGUAACACGUGGGUGACCUGCCCUCAGCUCUGGGAUAAGCCUGGGAAACCGGGUCUAAUACUGGAUAUGACUCCAUGACGCAUGUUGUGGGGUGGAAAGCCUUGUGCGGCUGAGGAUGGGCCCGCGGCCUAUCAGCUUGUUGGUGGGGUGAUGGCCUACCAAGGCGACGACGGGUAGCCGGCCUGAGGGGGCGACCGGCCACACUGGGACUGAGACACGGCCCAGACUCCUACGGGAGGCAGCAGUGGGGAAUCUUGCGCAAUGGGCGAAAGCCUGACGCAGCGACGCCGCGUGAGGGAUGACGGCCU
Molecule: ribosomal RNA, 388 nt
Filed under: uncultured bacterium
Lineage: Bacteria
Description: bacterial SSU rRNA
Rfam family: Bacterial small subunit ribosomal RNA
Source: RNAcentral